GGAGGAGAGAAAACUGAUGGGAUUUAAGUGGAUAUUUGUACUGUCACUUGCACUUCUCCAAGCGGCUUACUAUCGAAGAUUGAAAUGGUCUGUUCUGAAGUCUCGAAGGCUGGUGCUUGAUGUUGUAAAUUAGUCUACUGUCUAUUAAAUGGUGUGAGGCAAAAUAACACUCAGUAAUGCUUGUGUUAGAUCUAGGUAUUUAUUUUUCAUAUGUGAGAAGAUGGUAACGCGUAGAUAUGCCAAAUUGAGAUGAAUCGCAAGAAUAAUUGCAUUAUUUUUUUUCCCUAAAAAAANNNNNNNNUUAAAUGAUACGCAAUAUGCUAUCUGUUUAAAUAGUAUCAUACAAGCAUUACUGAGUGUUA
This 362-nucleotide unclassified non-coding RNA is filed under the name Hevea brasiliensis (rubber tree). The record is from RNAcentral. Lineage: Eukaryota; Viridiplantae; Streptophyta; Magnoliopsida; Malpighiales; Euphorbiaceae.